UUUAUUAUAAUCAAAUGAUCCUACGGCUUAACAUUGAUAGGAUUUGUAGCUGACGUCGACACGGUCAAAUUAUUUAUGGUAUAAAUUUACCAAUUUACACGUUUACAAUCUUAUUGACAUCUAGAGGAACUAUAAGACAGUGCUUAAAACUGAUACGGGGUUGAAAUCAAUCAUUACAUUCUGAAUACGGGUACCAGGUUUAACUGUUGCUAACAGUCAGCGAGUUUGUGGGUAUCCCAACACCAAGGUGCCCGGACAUUUAAUAAUGAAACAUAGAUUUGUUUUUAUUGUCUUCUGUGCUGGACUUUGCUGCCUUGUGACCGGAGUGCCAUUAAACUCGUUAUUAUCAAGGGAGCGGCGACAUUUUGCAGAGUUCAAAACAACAGAUUAUGCCACACGAAUAGCAUUAGAAAGACAGUUCAGUAAAUGUCGGUUGAUAGGAUGUGGACUGGUGGAUAUAGUUGCAAGUGGGAAAAAGAAAAGAAAUAGCCCUUUUGUUGGACAGUUUUCAGACGAAACGAGACAGUUUUUGAUAUCUAAAAUUUUAGAAAAAGUAAAAGAAUGAAGAGAAAAACAAACAAACAAAGUGUAGGCAUACCGUCCAAGGAACUGUUUAGUUUCUGAAGAUAGCUUUUUUCUUACAUCUUUACACUUUCAAUAAUUAUCACACGAAACAUUUUGCUGUGAAAUGUGUUAUUUCACAAUGUCAUAAUUCCACAAUGUAGAAAUAAAAAAAUUACAAAUAGUAGAAAUCAAUAUUUCUUGUAACAUAUGGAACGAUUUUAUGCCUUUGUUAUACAACUAAGCCUUUUUUUAACAGCAAGCGUUAUUUCUUUAAAUUGAUAUAUCAUUCUGAAAUUUGCUAUCUUAAGAUUUAAUGUAUACAUCCAUCGUACAUGUUAAUCAAACUUGACUAGCAAAAUCAUAAAUAAUUUUACGUCUAGACAAACCGAUUUUGAAUACAAUAAAUCAUAAUAUUUGGUUUUUGAUGAAUCAUUUCAAACCUACAUGUACUCAACACUUAAGUUUCAAAUAUUUUAAAUGCACGGCUAAAAAUUUAACUGUCUCGAAAGAGGGAAACCGUAACUCACUAUAUGCAGUGGUAGAAUCUAUACAUAUAUUUUACUUUACUAAAGCAACAAUUUGGUUUAUCUAUUUGGAACUUUUAAAAUAGAAAAUUGACCUUUUAAUGAAAAAAAUCUCCAGUUUGGAGAAUUUAACGAUAUUUAAAACGUUAUUUUCAUAAGUUUACGAAAUAUUUUGAUAUGUGUCACAAAAAAAUUAAAAAUCUUAGUUACAGUUUAUGUAUGAGGAUUAUAAUUGUAUGUUUAUGAAAGCAAAUGUUUAAACAACAUAAGAUAUAACGAACAAAAUUAAAGAUGAAAGAACAUA
Molecule: long non-coding RNA, 1392 nt
Organism: Mytilus californianus (California mussel)
Lineage: Eukaryota; Metazoa; Mollusca; Bivalvia; Mytilida; Mytilidae
Exons: 4
Source: RefSeq, a predicted model, not a curated record